GCUGGGUGCAGUGGCACACACCUGUAGUAGUCUCAGCUACUCACAAGGCUAACGCAGGAGGAUUACUUGAGCCCAGGAGUUCUGGGCUAUCGUGCACUAUGGCAAUCAGGUGUCUGCACUAAGUCCAAUGUCAAAUGGUGACCUCCUGGCAGUGGGGGACCACCAUGUUGCCUAAGAACAGGUGAAUAUGUGAAUAGACCCAGGUCAGAAACAGAGCAGGUCAAAACUCUUGUGCUAAUCAGUUGUGGGAUCAUGCCUGUGCAUAGCCACUGCACUCCAGCCUGGGUGACAUAGUGAGACCCCAUCUCU
Molecule: signal recognition particle RNA, 309 nt
Filed under: Prolemur simus (greater bamboo lemur)
Lineage: Eukaryota; Metazoa; Chordata; Mammalia; Primates; Lemuridae
Description: Metazoan signal recognition particle RNA (ENSPSMG00000000567.1)
Rfam family: Metazoan signal recognition particle RNA
About the family: The signal recognition particle (SRP) is a universally conserved ribonucleoprotein. It is involved in the co-translational targeting of proteins to membranes.
Source: RNAcentral